This 492-nucleotide ribosomal RNA is filed under the name uncultured bacterium. RNAcentral describes it as "partial 16S ribosomal RNA". It matches the Rfam family "Bacterial small subunit ribosomal RNA", at positions 29 to 507 of the family's 1533-position model. The record is from RNAcentral.
AGUGAACGCUGGCGGUAGGCCUAACACAUGCAAGUCGAACGGCAGCACAGUAAGAGCUUGCUCUUACGGGUGGCGAGUGGCGGACGGGUGAGGAAUACAUCGGAAUCUACUUUUUCGUGGGGGAUAACGUAGGGAAACUUACGCUAAUACCGCAUACGACCUACGGGUGAAAGCAGGGGAUCUUCGGACCUUGCGCGAUUGAAUGAGCCGAUGUCGGAUUAGCUAGUUGGCGGGGUAAAGGCCCACCAAGGCGACGAUCCGUAGCUGGUCUGAGAGGAUGAUCAGCCACACUGGAACUGAGACACGGUUCAGACUCCUACGGGAGGCAGCAGUGGGGAAUAUUGGACAAUGGGCGCAAGCCUGAUCCAGCCAUACCGCGUGGGUGAAGAAGGCCUUCGGGUUGUAAAGCCCUUUUGUUGGGAAAGAAAAGCGGCAGGUUAAUACCCCGCUGUUCUGACGGUACCCAAAGAAUAAGCACCGGCUAACUUCGUG